UACCAAUGCCCCUUAUUGGUGGAAUCCAGGAGGAAGAUAUCUGCUAAAGGAGCCUAGGACAGCAUUUUGCGAGCACCCAACCCCAGGGCUCCCUUGCUGGGGAUAGAAGGAUGAAUGUGGAGCGGAAAGCUAGUAAUUAAUGCCGGAGCUUAAGGUCUCAAUGAGAUGGAUUAGAGGUGUGGAGUCCAGUUGUGAUAGGCUGCUUCUGAAAUGGCUCCCAAUGAUCAUUGCCUCUUGGUGAUCAUGCCUCGUGUAAUCCCCUUGCUUUGUGUGUGGACUAGAACUAGUGACGUGGUUCUAACAAAUACAAUACUGCCAAAAUGAUGGGGUGUGACUUCCAUCAUUAUGUUAUAAAAGACUGUGCCUUCUGGGGCGCCUGGAUGGCUCAGUGGGUUAAAGCCUCUGCCUUCGGCUCAGGUCAUGAUCCCAGGAUCCUGGGAUCGAGCCCCG
Long non-coding RNA from Lutra lutra (Eurasian river otter), 450 nucleotides. RefSeq lists it as uncharacterized. The record is from RefSeq and is a predicted model, not a curated record. The transcript is spliced from 3 exons. NCBI's taxonomy places the organism in Eukaryota, Metazoa, Chordata, Mammalia, Carnivora, Mustelidae.